Molecule: long non-coding RNA, 979 nt
Filed under: Gallus gallus (chicken)
Lineage: Eukaryota; Metazoa; Chordata; Aves; Galliformes; Phasianidae
Description: lncRNA (ENSGALG00010004938.1)
Source: RNAcentral
UGACUAUUACCACAGAAGGACCUUCUCAUAUCACUUGCAUCUGCCCCUAUAGGCCUUGCCGACAACCGACGGGCACAGAGGAAGGGCUGCGCAAGCGGUGCGCCCGGCACCGUCGACCACGCUUUGCCGCGGCCAUCCCCGCCCGGCACGGCCCGGCCCGGCCCGGCAGGAGCCCAGUGGGAGGCAGCCUGGGGUCUGCAACCGAUGGAGGGGCAUUAGUGUUGCUUCCAGCCAUCUCUUCACCUUCUGGUGUACUUGCCACUCCUCCCUUAUGCACCACGAGCCUUAUGCUUCAGAUACCUCUCCGCAUGCUGACAAACUCUGCAAUCCACCUGCACCUUGCAGCCUUGCAGCCAGCUGGAGCAGGAAUAAAUCUCAUCCCAUUUUAGUGAGGGACUCUUCAAAUAGGAAACAGGGGGCUCUGGAAGGAGCAAGACGUUCAAUGACCUUUUUUCCCUCCCACGUUCUGUAUUUCUACCAAAAGGUUUGAAAAAGGAGAGGACAUGGCAGGUAGAGGGUCUGCUGAAGAUAAGCUCUGAUGGCAGCCAAUCUAAAGGGGAAGAGACAGACAAAAUCAGUGAUGAAGAGGUAACGGCCUCAGCGCUUAAGCAAAGCUUUUAAUGGUCCCACAAGACCUGCAGACUGCCUGGUCCAAUGACUAAGGGCUAAGAGCCAAGCCUUCAACAUGGAGAUCCUGGAUCUGUGGCACACCAGGCUACAUCAACUCUGACGAGGUCAUCUGGAUCACAUGAAUGCUUCAAGUCAAGCAACUGAAAAAAAUUUAUUAUGUUUUUCUUUCUCUUUUUUUUUUCCCCCUUUUUUGUUCUUCAUGUGAAUCCCCAGUGGAAGAAAUCCACCGAACAAGCAUGUUGAUUUUGGCAAAGGCACACACAGUCACUCUGUUCUAAAGAUGAGCUGACACGUGCAGAUUCACAGAUUAGCCAUUUCUAAAGGUUAAUUAAAUAUUGCCAUUGUUUUC